GAAGGUAUAGCUCAGUAGUAGAGUAUGUGCUUGACAUGCACGAGGUCCUGGGUUCAAUCCUCAGUACCUCCA
RNAcentral lists this transfer RNA (72 nucleotides) under Camelus bactrianus (Bactrian camel). It matches the Rfam family "tRNA". From Rfam's summary of the family: Transfer RNA (tRNA) molecules are approximately 80 nucleotides in length. Their secondary structure includes four short double-helical elements and three loops (D, anti-codon, and T loops). RNAcentral also lists the same sequence under 2 other names. Lineage: Eukaryota; Metazoa; Chordata; Mammalia; Artiodactyla; Camelidae. The record is from Rfam by way of RNAcentral.